Molecule: non-coding RNA, 45 nt
Filed under: Schistosoma curassoni
Lineage: Eukaryota; Metazoa; Platyhelminthes; Trematoda; Strigeidida; Schistosomatidae
Source: RNAcentral
AUCCAGCUGACGAGUGCCAAAUAGGACGAAACGCGCGUCCAGGAU